AAUUAACAAACCAUGAUGGCUUUGGAAACAUGUUCUUCCAUUUGUUACUUUCAUAAUGAAAGAAGAAAUGUAUUUUAAAUAACAUUUAAAUUUAAUUUUUUCAUUAUCAUCUGGGAAGCCCCAGCCCUUUAUGAAAGGAAAACAAUGUCCACUUUAGAGUUAAACUUGCUGAUGAGUGCUGAGCAUGGGAGGCAGGUGGGGGGCCAAGGUCUUUGAGUGCUGAGCAUGGGAGGCAGGUGGGGGGCCAAGGUCUUUGAGUGCUGAGCAUGGGAAGCAGCCCCUCCACUGACUGAAUGACCCUUCUCGGUCAAGGGGACCCAGAGAAACCUGAAAAGCUGAGUUCCAGGCCCUGACAGGAAGGGGGUCAGACAUGCCUCGUCAUACUCCCUCCCUUUGGGAGUUUAGACACAACUGACCAGCAGUAAUGUUAAAACGGAGAUCUUAAGACUGACAAAGCAGACUCUUGGUGGCAAUAGGAUACCGAAUUAUAACAGGACCCGAGGCCGCACAAGGCAGGGGUGGGUCCCACCUGCAGGCUGAGCAGGACCUGAGGCUGCACCUGUAGGCUACAGAUCCUGUAGCAGGAUCUUAACUUAAACGUUCCAAGUUUUAGACAGAGCCUUGCUCCUCUCACCAACAGGAACUCAAAGAAUCUCUGGAUCCAUCUAUAUCCUGUAAGCCCCCUUCAAGGUGUCCCACCUCCAAAGGCCGAGCCAGUGUGGACCUGCCAUGCAUGGCUGUAUGUCUUUGCCUAUAACUCCUGCCUCCCUGAGAUGUCAAAACCAAACUGCAAUCCGAUCUCCUCAGGCACACGUUCUCAGGACUCGCUGGGACCGUGUCUGUCUGGCUGUGUCACUCACUGGCUCAGAAGAAACCUCUUUAAAAUAUUUUACAGAGUUUGGUUUUUCCAUCAACAGAGAAAAGACUUGGAA
This 932-nucleotide long non-coding RNA is filed under the name Homo sapiens (human). RNAcentral describes it as "non-protein coding lnc-FAM20C-10:1". The record is from RNAcentral. Lineage: Eukaryota; Metazoa; Chordata; Mammalia; Primates; Hominidae.